CCCAAUAAAAAUUUUUCAAAAAAAAAAAAAACAUUCCUCUCCUCUUCGAUGCACAACAAAGAAAUUUAGCCACAGACUCAAUGAUCCCAUGGUUAUGUGUGGACAGUAAAAGGUAUGUCUUACUGUCAUCCGAUUGACCUUCAUGGUUUUGAAGCAAAGGUUCUAGAUAAACGGCGUGAAUAUCACAAUACAAUAAGCAGUACAGGAGAACAUGUUCAGUACUUUCUAUAUCCCUCAAGCCACAGGCACAAUACCUUGUGGAGUAAGGAAUUUUCUUGGAUUCCCAAAUCAGCUCAGCAAUUCUGGGCCCAAUUGGAAAUCCCAAAUCUUCUCAAAUCGGAAAUUCGAAGUGCACACCUCUAGCUAGGAGAAGUGGAAAGCAGUAGAAAAAAGGAAGACCCAAAAUGAAAUGGCUUGCCUCAAUAAAGGAAGUCAUGACCUUCAAUUUGCAAGAUCUGAGCAAGGCUGUUAAUGAUAGGUUGUUUUGGAGGUCUUUCAUUCAGAGAGUUGCCAUAAGUCAGAAGGGACUCAACAGCACAUAAUACAGCAUUCUGCAGUCACUCCACUGGCUACCCAUCAGUUACUGGACUCAGUUCAACAUUUUGAGUGUCACAUACAAAGUCUUUCAUGGCCUUGGUCCCUCAUAUCUUUGGGACCUUCUCUGUCCUUACAUUCUGCCAUGGCAGCUUUCCUUAUUCUGAUUAGGAUGGGCAAAAUCAACUGCCUGUGCACAAGCAUUCUCUGUUGAGGUUAUGUGGGCUCCCGCUCUCCUGAUUUUCCACAAUCUGCACAAGUGAAUUAUUCAGGAGAGCCUUUUUUAUACAGGUAGGAGGACUGUAUUGUAAGGAAAUGGAACAAAGAGGUAUGUUGAGAUCAUACUACUCUGUACUGUCGGUUGCAUUAAGUAUGUCCCUACUGGUUAAUUUCAGCGUUAUUUAAUAUGUCAGGAUUAAUUGCUUAUGAUCUGUUUCAGCUGUAUAUUGUAUUUCUGCUACUUUUUAAAUUUCUGCAGAUUUGCGUAUCCUGUUGCAUUGUUUAUUGAAUGUUCCAGCCAUUGAUUGUAUUGACUUGUGUAGUCCAGCUUGAGUCUCAGCAAUAAAAGUGGACUAUAAAUAAUGUAAAUAAAUAAACAGGAUUAACAUAAA
Molecule: long non-coding RNA, 1145 nt
Organism: Eublepharis macularius
Lineage: Eukaryota; Metazoa; Chordata; Lepidosauria; Squamata; Eublepharidae
Exons: 2
Source: RefSeq, a predicted model, not a curated record